UUGUUUUCGCGACAAGCCAGCUCACUUGUACAACGCAGUCUUACUCUUAGUAGUGGUCUGAGGAAAAAGCAUGAGAAAUGCCCUGUUACCCAAGAUUUUGAGUGUUACUAUCAACCGAAGAGAAAAAACCCUAACCGAAAACAACAACAAGAUAUUGGGAGGUCAAGAGUAAAUAUCGGUAACAGUUUUGAAAGGUGGAGGGAGCUCCGGAGUCAACUCCAUCUUAGACGCGAUUCCGAAAUAUCAUCGUUUGUGCUGGACAGUUACCAGAAGGGACUAAGAGGUCCAUCCACAUCCACCCCUGCCAAAGAUUGGAGCAUUCUAAGUGCAUGCUCUGUCUAGCAUUGGCAUUGCUUCAAGCUCGACUGUGUCGGUCAGCCUAAACAUCGAUGCAAGCAAAAGAUGCCCAUGCAGAGUCCAGAGGAAAAGACACCUGAAGAGGGCCAGGAUGCUUGUCCCAGCACUCCUGUGACAGGAAAAGAUAGCUCACCUUUACAGAGUACCAGCAGUCUUAGAUCUAUUGGUUCAAUGUCUAAGGUUGCGCUUUUGGAGGAAAAGAUUAAGUGGCAGGAAAGAAUGAUUAAAUAACUGGACAGACGGAAUGCCAUUUCCUUAGGGAACAGCUGAAGGGGAAUGGGGAAGGAAAAAAGCCACCUGCUGCAGUAGACAACCUGCACACACUCCCAGAGGGUUGCAGGUCUGCCGACUUCCUUUUGGUCACACAUUUUAUUCUGAGAAAUAUCCAUUAAACCAAAGACAUUGCUUUAACUGUGACUGUAUUUUCCUCAAAUAAA
This is a long non-coding RNA of Coregonus clupeaformis (lake whitefish), 794 nucleotides long. RefSeq lists it as uncharacterized. NCBI's taxonomy places the organism in Eukaryota, Metazoa, Chordata, Actinopteri, Salmoniformes, Salmonidae. The transcript is spliced from 6 exons. The record is from RefSeq and is a predicted model, not a curated record.